UAAGAAAGUCAGGAAGUUCCCAUGCCGCCAGAUUUCCCCAAAAGGACAAUAGUGAGAAACAUACUGUACUACAACAAGCCAUCCAACUACUGAAAGUGACUUCAAUCUGACUUGGAAAAUGUUGCGGUUUCUCUUGCUGUGCUUGAUUUUCGCAACGUCAGAUGCUGACUAUGAAGACUACAGCCCUAUGUACGAGCAGACUGAAGGAUCCGGGGGUAUAAUUGAGGAAGACGACGAGGAAUUGCCCGGGCCAGUUAGUUAUAAAUAUGAUACGGGAACUUGGUCGGAAUCUUCAAAUGGCAGUAAACAAACACAAGAAGGGUCCUCCAUGAUAAUCAUCAUAGCAGCAGUGAGUGUGGUUGCCCUGGCCAUCGCGGCCGUCGUAGCUAUUUUUCUCUUCAAACGUCACUUGCAAAGCCGGGAACAAGGGUAAGAACUGGUCUCAUUUAAUUAUGAAUGACGCAUGCUUAUAGGAAUACAAGACUAAUGGGGCAUAG
Electrophorus electricus (electric eel) is the source of this 497-nucleotide long non-coding RNA. NCBI's taxonomy places the organism in Eukaryota, Metazoa, Chordata, Actinopteri, Gymnotiformes, Gymnotidae. The record is from Ensembl.